AAUAGUGAAGAGAGGACACCCCGGACCGCACGGAGGGGAACGGCAUCUGCAGGGACCGAGAUUAGUGUUCUGAAGUAUUAACCCCAACUAUUAGGCACUUUUCACAGUCCCCUCUGGAAGUUUCUCCUCUACGUGCUUCAUUUUCUAGUCCCUCUAGGGCAGUCCUUCUCCACCUCACCAGCAAUACUGCAUUCUCUCCUCUCAGCUUCUGGUUUGGCCAUGGCAACCUUACCAAUCCAGUCUCUUAGUUGCCCACUGCCAUCUCUGCAGUCAAAGUCCAUGUGGCCCUGCACCCUGUCCCUGGAGUCACAAGACAUAUUUUUCACAAUUGUUGCACGAACAACCACAGCCGCCUUACAGUGUCAUCAGUGUCUUAUCCCCAGUCUGCAGCAAUGCCAACAACAAUCCACAUGGUGUCAAGAAUGUUUAUUUAACUACUUUAAAGCUUCUGCUCCAUGUGGUGGCAUGAAGUCAUUCACAACUACAAUACCCCAACCAAGAUCCUGUACUACACAGCUCAGCAGCACGACUCUCAGAGUUAGGAAAUCCCCACCGCCCAUGCUGUGCAACCGUAGUGGGGCAACUUUCAACCACACACACAUUGCUAAGUAAAUAAAUAAAUAAUAGUGUAAUAAGUCUUACAGUACUAUGUGAGGGUACAUUCACAUAUACAGGAUCUGCUGCAGAUUUGAUACUGCUGAUAUCAAUGUAACUAAAUGAUUCCACUUUGGCCGCUUAACACAUGUACAUACAUGCAAUGCAUUUGAAAAGUUGUCUGAAGAAGAGAGACUGGCAGAGGAAAAGCUGAAUGGAGCAAAGAGAGAUUUUCUUAAUGAAAAGCUGAUCCAGAGUGCUCUGGACCUUAUACUGGUUCAGCUACCAACAAGGCAAUGACCCUAAGCACACAGCCAAGAAAACACAGGAGUGGCUUAGGGAAAACUCUGUGAAUGUCCUUGAGUGGCUCAGCCAGAGCCCUGACUUGAAUCCAAUUGAACAUCUCCUGAAAAUGGCUUCCACUGACGGUCCCCAUCCAACCUGACAGAGCUUGAUAGGAUCUGCAGAGAAGUAUGGCAGAAAAUCCCCAAACCCAGGUGUGUAAACCUUGUGGCAUCAUAUUCAAGAAGACUAGAGGCUGUAAUCGC
Molecule: long non-coding RNA, 1142 nt
Organism: Hyla sarda
Lineage: Eukaryota; Metazoa; Chordata; Amphibia; Anura; Hylidae
Exons: 3
Source: RefSeq, a predicted model, not a curated record